This 207-nucleotide unclassified non-coding RNA is filed under the name Hevea brasiliensis (rubber tree). The record is from RNAcentral. Lineage: Eukaryota; Viridiplantae; Streptophyta; Magnoliopsida; Malpighiales; Euphorbiaceae.
CCCAGAGAUACAAUUGGAAAAUCAAUAAACCACUGGCUCCAUCAAUUUUAAAAGAUUUAUGCUUCGAAAAACAGCGGUAAAAAUAAAUGCAGACAAAAUGAAGAUUUCACCACCAUCAUCAUCAGAACGGAAAUGUUAUUCUCAUCCAUAGCUGUAAAAGCUAUGUAGGAAGGUGUCCUAAGAUCUUCCAAGUUUCAUCAUUUGAUG